AUUGAACGCUGGCGGCAUGCCUAACACAUGCAAGUCGAACGGGGGUAGUGAUACCCUAGUGGCGGACGGGUGAGGAAUGCGUAGGAAUCGGCCCACGAGUGGGGGACAACCUGGGGAAACUCAGGCUAAUACCGCAUGAGCUCGUAAGAGGAAAGCGGGGGAUCUUCGGACCUCGCGCUGGUGGACGAGCCUACGUCCGAUUAGCUAGUUGGUGGGGUAAAGGCUCACCAAGGCGACGAUCGGUAGCGGGUCUGAGAGGACGGCCCGCCACACUGGGACUGAGACACGGCCCAGACUCCUACGGGAGGCAGCAGUGGGGAAUCUUGGACAAUGGGCGCAAGCCUGAUCCAGCAAUGCCGCGUGGGUGAAGACGGCCUGCGGGUUGUAAAGCCCUUAGGCGGGAGGAACGACGGGACGCGAAUAGCGUUUCGGAGUGACGUUACCGCGGAAUAAGCACCGGCUAACUCCGUGCCAGCAGCCGCGGUAAU
RNAcentral lists this ribosomal RNA (488 nucleotides) under uncultured bacterium. Its description in RNAcentral is "bacterial SSU rRNA". It matches the Rfam family "Bacterial small subunit ribosomal RNA", at positions 29 to 524 of the family's 1533-position model. The record is from RNAcentral.